UCUUCCUGCAUUGCAUCACAGAAAGAUUGAUCGUGCGGAGGGCCACUUUCAGAACUGUGAGGAUUCCUGGAUAAUGUAGAAGUUCUACCAGGGAGUGACUGCAAGGCGGGCUCCUCUUGUCUCUGGGAGGAGCAAUGCUCCAUCAUGAGAACAUCUCUCCUGGAUCCAGAGAUACUCAUCUGGAGCCUACAGAUAUGGUUGUGUGAAGCUGACAGAUCGCAUCAUCUGUUUGAAUGCCGAUGGACACUGUAGGAAGACAAAAAAGACCGUUCGUUAAAGAAUAGCAAGGAAUUUGGUUCCAGGAAGCAUUAAGAAAGACAUCUUUCCAAGUGGCGGUGUUUUGAUUCUUCCAUGUACCCGCAUCAUCGUACCACCAAAUUUUCACAAGAGUCUUCAUUGCAGGUUUCAGAUGGCAAAAAUCAUUGUUUUAUUUUAUUUUCAAAAAUUGCAGUCAGCCCCUCUGCGUCUAGCGAUGUGAUAAAGCUGAAAUAGAAUGGGCAUCAUUGGAUGGGCUUUUGUCACUAAUGCUGUGGGAAAUGACUGGA
Long non-coding RNA from Panthera uncia (snow leopard), 545 nucleotides. RefSeq lists it as uncharacterized. The record is from RefSeq and is a predicted model, not a curated record. The transcript has 3 exons. Lineage: Eukaryota; Metazoa; Chordata; Mammalia; Carnivora; Felidae.